Molecule: unclassified non-coding RNA, 323 nt
Filed under: Hevea brasiliensis (rubber tree)
Lineage: Eukaryota; Viridiplantae; Streptophyta; Magnoliopsida; Malpighiales; Euphorbiaceae
Source: RNAcentral
ACUAGGAAAAUACUAAACCUAAUAUGCCUAAAUAAUAUAAAUCUAAUCUUCCUAAAUUUACAAUGAAAAUUAAUUAUAUUCUUAUAUAGAAUUUGAAUCUUCCUAUGAUACAUCAUUCUUCCCUAGUUAGAGAAGACUUUACCUCAGGUUUUGAAGUGCAAAGGAAUGAAGAAUUGGCUUCGGAGAACAAGCAACUUUAACUUCUUGAAUGGUAGCAACAAGAUCAAAAUGAAUAAUUUCACAUUUUCCUUUGCAUCCCAGAAAACAUUUGAACGCAGAAAAUUAAUCGCAAUUAAAGGUGAAAGGCUCUUCAAAUCACUAGG